AGCACGACCUCCAUCCACCAUUCCCGCCGUUUCUUCUCGCCACCAGACACCUUUCCACCGUCGCCCACUGUCAUCUCCGUUCACUCUGCUCAGCGCGGUCUCUUCUUUUCUGCUCUAAUCAGUCGGCCACAAAAGACAUCAGCAUCAUCUGGAUCGAGCUUGCUCCUCCGACUGCCAUUUCCCAGCCCACCGCGACAGCAGCAGCGACGCCGCGACGGCUCUGCCCUCCUCGGCGCGACAGUAGCAGCAGUGCAGCAGUUGAUAAUGGCAUUCUCCCCUCCUGAAGUCUCCUCAACAAUGCCCAAUGCAAUAACAUCUCAAAACUCCAUUGACAAUCAACAUUCAACGGAUGAUCAUAUUGUUACAAAUACUGACAUUCAAGGUGGAAGUGGAGAUGGUGAAACAGGUGGGAGUGCAGAUGGUGAAACAGGAGGAGCAGAAGAUGAUUUGCACUUUCAGCCGAAGAAGAGACAAAAGACUUCGAAAGUUUGGUUGGAGUUCAAUGUAAUUGAUGCUGUCAAUAAAGCCGAGUGCAAUCAUAUCAAAUCUAGACUAUCGAUUUUGAAGAGCAAGAGUACUACCCACCUCUCAAGACACUUG
Molecule: long non-coding RNA, 600 nt
Organism: Salvia miltiorrhiza (redroot sage)
Lineage: Eukaryota; Viridiplantae; Streptophyta; Magnoliopsida; Lamiales; Lamiaceae
Exons: 3
Source: RefSeq, a predicted model, not a curated record